RNAcentral lists this ribosomal RNA (910 nucleotides) under uncultured bacterium. RNAcentral's name for it is "bacterial SSU rRNA". It matches the Rfam family "Bacterial small subunit ribosomal RNA", at positions 33 to 934 of the family's 1533-position model. The record is from RNAcentral.
ACGCUAGCUACAGGCUUAACACAUGCAAGUCGAGGGGAAACGGCAUUAAGUGCUUGCACUUUUUGGACGUCGACCGGCGCACGGGUGAGUAACGCGUAUCCAACCUUCCCAUGACUAAGGGAUAACCUGCCGAAAGGCAGACUAAUACCUUAUGGUCUUCACUGACGGCAUCAGAUGUGAAGUAAAGAUUUAUCGGUUAUGGAUGGGGAUGCGUCUGAUUAGUUAGUUGGCGGGGUAACGGCCCACCAAGGCAACGAUCAGUAGGGGUUCUGAGAGGAAGGUCCCCCACAUUGGAACUGAGACACGGUCCAAACUCCUACGGGAGGCAGCAGUGAGGAAUAUUGGUCAAUGGGCGAGAGCCUGAACCAGCCAAGUAGCGUGCAGGAAGACGGACCUAUGGGUUGUAAACUGCUUUUGUAUGGGGAUAAAGUCAAUCACGUGUGAUUGUUAGCAGGUACCAUACGAAUAAGGACCGGCUAAUUCCGUGCCAGCAGCCGCGGUAAUACGGAAGGUCCGGGCGUUAUCCGGAUUUAUUGGGUUUAAAGGGAGCGUAGGCUGGAGAUUAAGUGUGUUGUGAAAUGUAGACGCUCAACGUCUGACUUGCAGCGCAUACUGGUUUCCUUGAGUACGCACAACGUUGGCGGAAUUCGUCGUGUAGCGGUGAAAUGCUUAGAUAUGACGAAGAACUCCGAUUGCGAAGGCAGCUGACGGGAGCGCAACUGACGCUGAAGCUCGAAGGUGCGGGUAUCGAACAGGAUUAGAUACCCUGGUAGUCCGCACAGUAAACGAUGGAUGCCCGCUGUUGGUACCUGGUAUCAGCGGCUAAGCGAAAGCAUUAAGCAUCCCACCUGGGGAGUACGCCGGCAACGGUGAAACUCAAAGGAAUUGACGGGGGCCCGCACAAGCGGAG